Molecule: ribosomal RNA, 386 nt
Filed under: uncultured bacterium
Lineage: Bacteria
Also listed under: 1 other name
Description: bacterial SSU rRNA
Rfam family: Archaeal small subunit ribosomal RNA
Source: RNAcentral
GCGAGAAACCUUAGCAAUGUGCGAAAGCACGACUGGGUCAGUCCGAGUGAUUCCUGAUAAAGGAGUCUUUUGCUUGUCCUAAAAGCACAGGUGAAUAAGGGGUGGGCAAGUCUGGUGUCAGCCGCCGCGGUAAUACCAGCACCUCGAGUGGUCAGGACGUUUAUUGGGCCUAAAGCAUCCGUAGCCGGCUUUGCAAGUCUUCGGUUAAAUCCACCUGCUCAACAGAUGGGCCGCUGGAGAUACUACAAAGCUAGGGAGUGGGAGAGGCAGACGGUAUUCAGUGGGUAGGGGUAAAAUCCUCUGAUCCAUUGAGGACCACCAGUGGCGAAGGCGGUCUGCCAGAACACGUUCGACGGUGAGGGAUGAAAGCUGGGGGAGCAAACCGG